This 1174-nucleotide long non-coding RNA is filed under the name Olea europaea subsp. europaea. The record is from RNAcentral. Lineage: Eukaryota; Viridiplantae; Streptophyta; Magnoliopsida; Lamiales; Oleaceae.
GAUUGAACUCAAACUAAGGAGGGCGAUUAUUCUUAUGAACCAAAUAACGAAACUGAUCAUGUGAUAAUUGAAGUUGCAACUCAUCCCGGAGAAUAUGUACCAACAAAGGGGCACAAUCUCUCCUUUUAACCAAAUAUCACAUAGAAACUCCAAAAAGCAAAAACUUAUUCUCAAAAUCUUCAUUUGGUUGUACAUAAUGAGGAACACAAGGAACUACCAUUGCAAAUUGGCAUGUAGAGAAAAGAUUGCUACAUUGAAGGCUCGAAUGGACCUCAAUAAGGAAACAAUUCUUCUAUAUUAAAAAUGUAACUCUUAUUGAAGUGUAAUGGCCAGUCAAAUAAAAAAUCUUUAUAUGGAUAUUCCAAAACUCUUUUCUCAGCAUGUUUAGGAGACUGAGAUAAUGAGACACCUAACAAAGAAUAAUAAUAACUAGGGUAUCAUAACUUUUGCUGCACAUCGAAAGCAAGUUCAGAAAUUUCUUGAUUAAAAAUAAUUUGCCUUUUUAUCAUAGCAUGAAAUUUAAGAACAUUGAUAGGCUUUGCUAUUGGGUUGUGUGAGAUGUGGGUUUAUUAGGUAAAUGUUAGGUAUAUGUAUUGGUUAUUAGAUGGAAAUGUAUGGGAUCGAUUUAGUGGGCUAAAUUUGUGAACUGGAGGUGUUGAACAACACAGUAAGUAAUAUGGGUUUGCGUGGGCUUGGAAUGUAUGUGUUGGGUGAAAUUGUUGGGAUGUAGGGUUUGGGUUAUAGGUUAAAAUUGAAAAGUAGUGACAUAGUAGAAAUAUGAACAAUAUUGAACAGCAUAAUAAUAUUUUUUUCUUGAAGCUGAUGAGAAAUCUAAAAAUGAAUUUUCAAUUUUUGGCAGUGAACAGUACCUCAAACAGUAACUACUUUCCCCCUUUUUUUUUUGGUUUGGUGGGGGUAAAAUGGUGGUAUGUUGUGUUGGAUGAAAUGUAUAUGGUUUGAACGGGAGGUGGGUUGUAUGGGUGAAGGUGGAUACCGCUAGUUUCUUGUGGAGAUUGGAUUUGUUGGUCAAAGGAAACAAUUUGAGCUCUGAUACCAAAUUGACGUUGGAUGCAAGGGGAAAAUUAUAAGAGAAGAGAAAGGAGGAUAAGGAGAGAAGAAAGGAGGGCAAGAUGAAAUCAACUUUCAUUCAUAUAAUUAGGUCGUUCUAUUACAG